GGGUUGUGAGGUUAAGCGACUAAGCGUACACGGUGGAUGCCCUGGCAGUCAGAGGCGAUGAAGGGCGUGCUAAUCUGCGAUAAGCGCCGGUAAGGUGAUAUGAACCGUUAUAACCGGCGAUACCCGAAUGGGGAAACCCAGUGUGACUCGUCACACUAUCAUUAACUGAAUCCAUAGGUUAAUGAGGCGAACCGGGGGAACUGAAACAUCUAAGUACCCCGAGGAAAAGAAAUCAACCGAGAUUCCCCCAGUAGCGGCGAGCGAACGGGGAGGAGCCCAGAGCCUGAAUCAGCAUGUGUGUUAGUGGAAGCGUCUGGAAAGGCGCGCGAUACAGGGUGACAGCCCCGUACACAAAAGCGCAUGUGCUGUGAGCUCGAUGAGUAGGGCGGGACACGUGGUAUCCUGUCUGAAUAUGGGGGGACCAUCCUCCAAGGCUAAAUACUCCUGACUGACCGAUAGUGAACCAGUACCGUGAGGGAAAGGCGAAAAGAACCCCGGCGAGGGGAGUGAAAAAGAACCUGAAACCGUGUACGUACAAGCAGUGGGAGCACCCUUUGGGUGUGACUG
Molecule: ribosomal RNA, 567 nt
Filed under: Salmonella enterica
Lineage: Bacteria; Pseudomonadati; Pseudomonadota; Gammaproteobacteria; Enterobacterales; Enterobacteriaceae
Also listed under: 2 other names
Description: partial 23S ribosomal RNA
Rfam family: Bacterial large subunit ribosomal RNA
Source: RNAcentral